CACGUAGGGCGCGAGCGUUGUCCGGAAUUAUUGGGCGUAAAGAGCUCGUAGGCGGCCUGUUGCGUCCGCUGUGAAAGCCCGGGGCUUAACCCCGGGUCUGCAGUGGAUACGGGCAGGCUAGAGGUAGGUAGGGGAGAAUGGAAUUCCCGGUGUAGCGGUGAAAUGCGCAGAUAUCGGGAGGAACACCGGUGGCGAAGGCGGUUCUCUGGGCCGUUACUGGCGCUGAGGAGCGAAAGCGUGGGGAGCGAACAGG
This 253-nucleotide ribosomal RNA is filed under the name uncultured bacterium. Its description in RNAcentral is "partial 16S ribosomal RNA". It matches the Rfam family "Bacterial small subunit ribosomal RNA", at positions 524 to 776 of the family's 1533-position model. The record is from RNAcentral.